GAUUCCAAUUAAAACAACAAAAUAACCGCGGAAACAGAAUUGACCUUGCUACAAACAUAAAAAAACACACAUCAAAGCUGCGGUUCUCUCUCUCUUUUUAUUUACAGGUCUGUUUUUAUCUCCAUUUCUCUACCGGUUCUCAAUGUUUUCUUUCACUAUGACUGCUGAUUUUAGGUGUGGUUGCCGGCGUCAGCUUGUGCGAUAACUGGAGCUCACGGUGUCAAGGGGGUUGUGCUGUUGCCGCAGUCGUCCGUGGCUGGUUUUGUUGAAGCUGAAGAGGUCACUGAUUGCUGUACAUGGUGGAUGCUUCUAUUGUAUCUCUUGGUGGAAAAUGAGCACUGCUCACAGUGGUUAGUUCCGGUGGUGACUGUCAUCGUGGGGAAAGGGAGUUGUUGCUGGGUCAGUGGGUGAUAGUGGAGAAAAAUAAAAGGGAAAGAGAUGAGAAGGAUUGUCCACCCGAAAUUGAUAGAAAGGGGAUAUGCUGUUGAUUGUGGUAGAGUGAGGUUGAAGAUGAAGCUUGAUUUUUUUUCAAAGAGAGAUGGUACUGGUUUUGGGAAUGAAGGCCAUGGUAGGACGACUGGCAGAUUGAUGGAAUCAAUGGGAUUUUUUGUUUACUUUGUAUGUAUCGUUGGUGGUUGCGGAGGGAGCUGUUGUGCUUGGGAUCUGGAAAAAGAAAAAAGAAAAAAAAAGAAAUGGAAGGAGAAUGGGGUUGAUGUAUGAUGCUGGAAAAGGAAAGGAGGCUGAUAGCAUAAAAAAAUAGGAGGUGCAAUUUUUAUUUUUCUUGUCAUGGAUUUGUUGUUUUUUUUAGGAAGGGCGAGACUAGGUUUUUUUAGGUGGGAGAGAGAGUGUUCUGUUGCUUUCUAUGCUCUAAUUAAUUAAUUCUUUGUUCUUCUUUUUAUUUAAUGCU
Molecule: long non-coding RNA, 907 nt
Filed under: Populus tremula
Lineage: Eukaryota; Viridiplantae; Streptophyta; Magnoliopsida; Malpighiales; Salicaceae
Description: long non-coding RNA (PTRE_LNC001002)
Source: RNAcentral